Molecule: unclassified non-coding RNA, 624 nt
Filed under: Erythronium propullans
Lineage: Eukaryota; Viridiplantae; Streptophyta; Magnoliopsida; Liliales; Liliaceae
Description: sequence contains ITS1, 5.8S rRNA gene and ITS2
Rfam family: 5.8S ribosomal RNA (bases 236-391)
Source: RNAcentral
UCGAUACUUGACCGAAAGACUGCGAACUUGUAAACGGAUGCCCCCAUGGUGGUCGGGCAAGCCCGGCCUCUGUGGACCCCUGCGGCCCCAUUUUGGAGUGACCUCGUGUUGCACGGAUUGGGGUGGUACGGGAUAACGAAACCCCGGCGCUGCAUGCGCCAAGGAUCAUAUAUGACCGGAUGGGCGUGCGCCUCUGCCCGUGUGGCGAGGCAACGACCGCUGAACAUUACCAUAUGACUCUCGGCAACGGAUAUUUUGGCUCUGGCAUCGAUGAAGAACGUAGCGAAAUGCGAUACUUGGUGUGAAUUGCAGAAUCCCGUGAACCAUCGAGUCUUUGAACGCAAGUUGCGCCCGAGGCCUUCCGGCUGAGGGCACGCCUGCCUGGGCGUCACGCCUCGCGUCGCUUUAUGCUCCUGAUCCUUUGGGCAGUGGCGUCGAUGCGGAAAUUGGCCCCCCGUGCCUUGUGUGCGGUGGGCUAAAGAGAGGGCUGCCAGCUAGGUGUGGCACGGCAAGUGGUGGACAUAGCGCCAGCAGGAUGCCGUGGCCCCCCUAGUUGGAAGGACCCAAGUGACCCGGAUAAGGUGAGUUGCACUCCUGUAUGGGUUUGUGCCUUCGCCUCGCAAC